AGCAGCCGCGGUAAUUCCAGCUCCAAUAGCGUAUAUUAAAGUUGUUGCAGUUAAAAAGCUCGUAGUUGAAUUUCGGGAUUCAUCCGUUGGUCGGGCUUCACGGUCCGUACUGGUGUGAUGGGUUCCUACCUUCUGAAUAACCGGCAUGCCAUUAAUUUGGUGCGCCGGGGAAGCAGAACUAUUACCUUGAAAAAAUUAGAGUGCUUAAAGCAGGCAAGUGCCUGAAUAGGUUAGCAUGGAAUAAUAAAAUAGGACGGCAUGGUUCUAUUUUGUUGGUUUCUAGGAUCACCGUAAUGAUUAAUAGGGAUAGUUGGGGGCAUUAGUAUUCAAUUGUCAGAGGUGAAAUUCUUGGAUUUAUUGAAGACUAACUUCUGCGAAAGCAUUUGCCAAGGAUGUUUU
Molecule: ribosomal RNA, 399 nt
Filed under: uncultured Glomeromycotina
Lineage: Eukaryota; Fungi; Glomeromycota
Description: SSU rRNA
Rfam family: Eukaryotic small subunit ribosomal RNA
Source: RNAcentral